Non-coding RNA from Chlorocebus sabaeus (green monkey), 529 nucleotides. NCBI's taxonomy places the organism in Eukaryota, Metazoa, Chordata, Mammalia, Primates, Cercopithecidae. The record is from RefSeq and is a predicted model, not a curated record.
CCUUCUCUGCCAUCCCUCUUCCACUCAGGGGAAUAGCCCAGCAUCAGUGCAGUCCAUGCUUGUUAAUCAACCACUUCCACAUGACACAUCCAGCAGAGCUCUCUGAGUGACUCACAGUCACAAACACCCAGGGCACUGAUCUUUCCUCUGUGUCCUUCCAGGUUCUGAGGACAACCUGAGUGUAGUAAGUCUACCACAAAGUGAAGAUUAUGAUGGUGAUGGUGAUGAUGAUGAUGAUGAUGAUGAUGAUGAUGAUGCCCAGAUUUCACCGUCAUCUGUCCUGGGUUCUUCUGAGGACAACCUGAGUUUAGUGAGACCACCACAAAGUGAAGAUUAUGAUGGUGAUGGUGAUGAUGAUGAUGAUGAUGAUGUCCAGGUAAGACCACCUUUCUUUGUCUUCUAAGGAAAUGUUGGUUUUCUGAUAUGAGAAAAAAACUCACCCGUUGAAACCCAAAGAAUGGACUCAGGGAGCUGAAAAACAGCAAAAGUGAAAUUUUCCCUUACCUCCCCUCCCCUCCCCUCCCCUCCC